AGCUCGGUGGGGAAUCCCAGCAAUGGGUGAGCAACCGGCGUAAGAGGGCAGAUUAUGCAUGGGUACCUACCUUUGGGUUCGGGUUAGCCAUCAGAGAUGGUGGUAUAAUACCGCGAUGAUGUCGUUGAGACCAAAGAUUUUUCGCCCGAAGUAGGGGCCCAUGCAGAUAUUAGCUAGUUGG
RNAcentral lists this ribosomal RNA (181 nucleotides) under uncultured Planctomycetota bacterium. RNAcentral describes it as "uncultured planctomycete partial 16S ribosomal RNA". The record is from RNAcentral. Lineage: Bacteria; Pseudomonadati; Planctomycetota.